RNAcentral lists this ribosomal RNA (253 nucleotides) under uncultured bacterium. RNAcentral describes it as "partial 16S ribosomal RNA". It matches the Rfam family "Bacterial small subunit ribosomal RNA", at positions 524 to 776 of the family's 1533-position model. The record is from RNAcentral.
UACGUAGGGUGCAGGCGUUAAUCGGAAUUACUGGGCGUAAAGCGUGCGCAGGCGGUCUGUUAAGACAGGUGUGAAAUCCCCGAGCUCAACUUGGGAAUUGCGCUUGUUACUGGCAGGCUAGAGUGUGGCAGAGGGGGGUGGAAUUCCAGGUGUAGCAGUGAAAUGCGUAGAUAUCUGGAGGAACACCGAUGGCGAAGGCAGCCCCCUGGGUUAACACUGACGCUCAGGCACGAAAGCGUGGGGAGCAAACAGG